This 67-nucleotide transfer RNA is filed under the name Curculionoidea sp. 2 KM-2017. RNAcentral describes it as "tRNA-Phe". The record is from RNAcentral. Lineage: Eukaryota; Metazoa; Arthropoda; Insecta; Coleoptera.
AUUUGAAUAGCUUAUUAGAUAGAGCAUAGUAUUGAAGAUACUAAGGAAAUAUUAUUAUUUUUAAAUA